UAAUCGUCGUAUUGACUGCAUCGCGUGUCGCCCUUUUCCGGUUGAUCCUGCCGGACCCCACUGCUAUCGGGAUAGGACUAAGACAUGCUAGUUGAGCGCUUCCAGCCAACACGGGAGCGCAGCGCACAGCUCAGUAACACGUGGCUAAUCUGCCCUUGGGACCGGAACACCCCCGGGAAACUGGGGCUAAUUCUCGAUAGGUGAAGAACUCUGGAAUGAGUCUUCGCCAAAAAGACGUUUACGUUAUGCUCGUAGGCGUCGCCCAAGGAUGAGGCCGCGACCGAUCAGGUUGUUGGUGAGAUAAUGGCUCACCAAGCCUUUUACCGGUGCGGGCCGUGAGAGCGGGAGCCCGGAGAUGGGCACUGAGACAAGGGCCCAGGCACUACGGGGCGCAGCAGUCGCGAAAACUUUGCAAUACACGAAAGUGUGACAGGGCUAUCCCGAGUGCCAUCCGCUGAGGAAGGCUUUUACCCAGUCUAGAACGCUGGGGGAAUAAGGAGAGGGCAAGUCUGGUGUCAGCCGCCGCGGUAAUACCAGCUCUCCGAGUGGUGUGGAUGUUUAUUGGGCCUAAAGCAUCCGUAGCUGGCUAAGUUAGUCCCUUGUUAAAUCCACCGAAUUAAUCGUUGGAUUGCGGGGGAUACUGCUUGGCUAGGGGACGAGAGAGGCAGACGGUAUUUCCGGGGUAGGGGUGAAAUCCUAUAAUCCCGGGAAGGCCACCAGUGGCGAAGGCUGUCUGCUAGAACGCGCCCGACGGUGAGGGAUGAAAGCUGGGGGAGCGAACCGGAUUAGAUACCCGGGUAGUCCCAGCUGUAAACGAUGCAGGCUAGGUGUUUGGACGGCCACGUGCCGUUCUAGUGCCGCAGGGAAGCUGUUAAGCCCGCCGCCUGGGGAGUACGAUCGCAAGAUUGAAACUUAAAGGAAUUGGCGGGGGAGCACCACAAGGGGUGAAGCUUGCGGUUUAAUUGGAGUCAACGCCGGAAAUCUCACCGGGAGCGACAGCAGAAUGAAGGCCAGAUUAAAGGUCUUGCCAGACGAGCUGAGAGGAGGUGCAUGGCCGUCGCCAGUUCGUGCCGUGAGGUGUCCUGUUAAGUCAGGCAACGAUCGAGACCCGCGUCCUCUGUUGCAACUAGCUUUGAGCUGGGCACACUGAGGAGACCGCCACUGAUAAAGUGGAGGAAGGAGCGGGCCACGGCAGGUCAGUAUGCCCCGAAUCUCCCGGGCCACACGCGAGCUGCAAUGGCAGGUACAAUGGGUUCCGACCUCGAAAGGGGAAGGCAAUCUCGAAAGCCUGCCGUAGUUGGGAUCGAGGGCUGCAACCCGCCCUCGUGAACAUGGAAUCCCUAGUAAUCGCGUGUCAUUAGCGCGCGGUGAAUACGUCCCUGCUCCUUGCACACACCGCCCGUCGUUCCAUCCGAGCGACUCUUGGGUGAGGCGCCGUCUUUCGUGGCGGCAUCGAAUCUAAGUUUCGUAAGGAGGGAAAAGUCGUAACAAGGUAACCAAGGGCGACACGCGAUUGCAGCGAGCCUCAGACACUGGCCGUG
This 1541-nucleotide ribosomal RNA is filed under the name uncultured archaeon. Its description in RNAcentral is "bacterial SSU rRNA". It matches the Rfam family "Archaeal small subunit ribosomal RNA". The record is from RNAcentral.